UCUUUCAAUAGCUUAAGGGAUAAAGCUACGCUCUUCUAAAGCGUUUAUUUAGGUUCAAAUCCUAAUUGAAAGACCC
Molecule: transfer RNA, 76 nt
Filed under: Ulva meridionalis
Lineage: Eukaryota; Viridiplantae; Chlorophyta; Ulvophyceae; Ulvales; Ulvaceae
Description: tRNA-Arg
Rfam family: tRNA
About the family: Transfer RNA (tRNA) molecules are approximately 80 nucleotides in length.
Source: RNAcentral